Molecule: long non-coding RNA, 292 nt
Filed under: Elaeis guineensis (African oil palm)
Lineage: Eukaryota; Viridiplantae; Streptophyta; Magnoliopsida; Arecales; Arecaceae
Description: long non-coding RNA (EGUI_LNC052601)
Source: RNAcentral
GCCCAAGCUCUAAAAAGCUGCCGCCCUAGCCUCUCAUCCCCCUCUUUGUUCAAUCCUCAAUCCUUCUUCCACCUGUUCAUAGCCUCUACUUCAACGUUUCAGCAAGGAGGAGGAUAAAGGGAGCAAUGGCGAGUGGAAUCAACAUCAUGCACGGCUAGAGGUUUAGUCUUCGGAGGAGUAGAUGAAGUUUUUAAUUUGCAAUCUUGUAUUUUAUUUUGAAUAUCAUUAUGUAUUUAUCUUUGAUACAAUUAGUGAUUUGAAAAUUUAUAAGAUUCUAUUUUAUAUUGAGCUU